AUCAGGUUGUGUGUUACAGCCGUUUUAUCAGACUCCAGUGGCUUGUCUUAGUCUCCAGAGUUUCUCCCGGUGAUGAAAUUCUAAGAAAAUCCUGCGAUUCAUGACGUUUUCUCUGAAUUUUCCCUAAAACGUAAGUCGUGAUCUUUGAGGAGGAUUUCAGCCCUUAUGAGAGCCCCUGAGAGGAAAGCCGUGGGGAGUGGGGGUGACUUUGAAGAGGCUUAAGAGUCUCUCGAGCUGAGGAGGAUGAAGCGGAGAGAUGGCGAAACAGGAGAGACGCACGCCCAACAUUGAAUGAGUGAGUAUUGCUCGAUUAUAAUGACAGCGCUCACAUCUUCGGGCAAAUGCAACAACGCAACAACGUGAACACGAGAUACUGAGCAACUGGAAAAUUCAACCCACGAAGAAGACAUGCACCUCCUUAAAAACUUAUUGAUGCAGAUUGGAGAGGGGCAUUCACACCAAGCAUGAAUAAAGUGAUUUACAUGACUGAAUUACAUGUAAAGUCAGUGCAAAAAUGCAAAUCAUGCAGAUUAGAUGGCGCGAAUUGGGCAGUGCGAAUUCCCAUCAUGGAGGAAAGUGAGUGAGGAGGCCAGAUUAUCUGGUAAAUUGUGAAAAACUGUUGUCUAUCACUUGAUCCCGCUGGUUGAACUGGCAAUGAUCACUGCUGAAAUCAGCAUGAGCGGCUAUCCACAGCUUUUAAGCAGUCUGUUGACGCGCGAAUCACGCAAACGGACUCAAAUGAUUGUCGCGAUAUAUAUUACGCUCAGAUUCAGUCACCAUGGUUUCCUGUACAGAAGUGUUAAAGACUUAAUAGCUAACAGAAUAAAGGAAACUUAACCAACAUUAAUGUACUGAAAAAUAAAAACUUGUGAAACUUGACUGACAUGAUGGAUGUUAAAGUAAGUUUAAACAUAGCAAAGACAUGAAAUUUGACUGUCACAGUUGGUUUGAUGGACACACAAGGAUGAAGAUCUCUCUCUCUCUCAAGCCUCACGGUUUCCUCCGAGGUUUUUCAAUUUUGCCUUUCUUUGACCUGGAAACCACAGUUUGUAGCAGUUGAUUGCAUUUAUUCAUCUUCACCUUGCAUUUUGCAGAGAUGCAGCACAAAUAUGGAGGCUAUUUUUUUUUUAUUAAGUUUUCUUUGGCGUCUCCUUGUUUUGUAACACCAACUCUUAAGAAAGCUUUCUUGAAGUUAAACUUUGUACCUCUGCAAAUAAACUGACCUGACUUGAGAAAGAAAACUCUUUACCUUGGUUGUGUUUGUCAAGUGUCUCUUUAGUAAAGAAGAUGGAUUUUUCAGAUCCAGCCACAUGUCUAUCACAGUGCCAUUAGGGCCAAGGUUGAUUUCGGUGAAAUCCUGCAGCUAUAAAACAAAGUUUCUACAGCAGUAUAAACCUAUAAAAACUGUUUAAGAUACUGUAAAACCACAAAACUACAGUCAAACAUGUUCAUUUUCACAAGCAGAUGAUCACAUCGUAAUGUAAUCUGGACUCUCCUCGUGGAUCUCAUCACUUGCAGACUCCUCACUGAUAGAUAACAAACCAAACAUCCAUAUGCAUGUCGGCUCUGCUGUUUGCGUUCCCCUCCCUGGUUGUACGGCCUUUUCUUUGGUGGAUAACAACAGGAUGUGUUGACUCUGCAUGACGCUGAUCCAGAGCUGAAUCUGAGCUCUGGCUUCAGGCUUGGCAGCAGGACGAGCAGAAGGAGCCUGGAGGAGCAGGCUGCAGUCUAUUUUGAGUCUUUUUGUUUAACCCAAUUACAGUGUCGGUGUUGUGCUGACUGAACACGCUGCAGUCAGGUGAAAGUGAGUCCUUUGAAAAGUGGGACAGCAGAGUUACAGAGAUGGAGAUGUGAAGCACUGGAAACAAUGAAAGGUUGCUUUACGUUGAGACGAGGAGAGAAAUAGAUUUCAUACACAGAGCCAGAGAAAAUAAAAUGGUUAACAUGUAAUAACAGCUCGUGUUUUCCUCUCUGUGACCUUGGCAGAGAAUCAUCUAUGCCACCGCUUCAUUCCAGAGUUUAACAGGCUCAUAUAUUCUUCUCUGGAUGGCUUUUUCACAUCUUCAUCCAUCUCAAAAAUAAAUGUAAACCUAGAGAUAAGCUUCCAACGGGGCCCACAAGCCCGGCUGCUGCGACAAUGAGAGCAUAAAGCCGGUAAAUAAACGAAGAUACGGCAAAGCCACCUGAGGCCCUGCUGUCUGAAAUCAGCCCGUCUCAAUCGACAGUGUUUUUUUCGCUCUCUCUCUUUCUGCAGGUAAAUGAGGUAAUCAUGUGUGAGAUCCACAGGAGAGGCAGGAGAUAAAGACCCGGCUGCUUGUGGGAGGCUCAGCUCUGAAAAGAAUCCAUCCAUGAGCUGCUGUCUUUAACUGCACUGAUGCUCCUCUUCAUCGGCAUCCGCCCUCCAGACAUCCACCUGAGAGCCGAGGCAGAGCUGCCGACGGAGGGCUCAGGAUGUUUUUUUCUGUCAGUCUGACAACGUGGUAUCAUCUUCUGCCCCGAUUCCCCUCUCACAUCUCUGAUAGGAAUCACAGACUCAGGUGUACAUUUCAUCUCCUCCUCCUACGGCAGACUCCUACAGAACCUCCUCGCUCCUGUGAGGCUGAUUCUUCUAAUUCAAUCUCACGUGGUCUUAAUUCAAUCUCAGAGAGGAGGGAGGGAGGUCUGUGUAAUUAAGUGACAG
This 2680-nucleotide long non-coding RNA is filed under the name Xyrichtys novacula (pearly razorfish). Lineage: Eukaryota; Metazoa; Chordata; Actinopteri; Labriformes; Labridae. The record is from RNAcentral.